CCUACGGGAGGCAGCAGUAGGGAAUAUUGCACAAUGGGGGAAACUCUGAUGCAGCGACGCCGCGUGAGUGAAGAAGGAAUUCGUUAUGUAAAGCUCUGUCAUCAGGGAAGAAAAUGACGGUACCUGAGUAAUAAACCCCGUCUAACUACGUUCCCGGAGCCGCAGUCAUACGUAGGUGGCAAGCGUUAUCCGGAUUUACUGGGUGGAAAGGUAGCGUAGACGUCAGUGAAAGUCUGGAGUGAAAGGCGGGGGCUCAACCCCUGGACUGCUAUGGAAACUGUACGGCUGGAGUGCAGGAGGGGUAAGUGGAAUUCCUAGUGUAGCGGUGAAAUGCGUAGAUAUUAGGAGGAACACCAGUGGCGAAGGCGGCUUACUGGACUGUAACUGACGUUGAGGCUCGAAAGCGUGGGGAGCAAACAGGAUUAGAUACCCUUGUAGUC
RNAcentral lists this ribosomal RNA (440 nucleotides) under uncultured bacterium. RNAcentral describes it as "partial 16S ribosomal RNA". It matches the Rfam family "Bacterial small subunit ribosomal RNA", at positions 338 to 795 of the family's 1533-position model. The record is from RNAcentral.